UAACCAAUGCUGGGAGUGACAAGGGUGGAAUUUGGCCCCUGCAUGCCCUGUUUUGUGCAGCUCCCAGGUCCUGCUGGGGCCACUGCAGUGCUGCGGUGCUGUAACAAUCCACAAGAAACACCUUGCCUCUCUCCUGUUCCAUGGAAGAGGACAAGCCCUCCAAAGCUGGCUCUCUCAAGGUCGGACCAGUGAAAGUCCUUCACUGUCUCUACGUUUUUCUCUGCAUCAGUCAGCAGCAGGAGAACAGUCCUUCUGUAAGAACAUCUAGCCUGCAAUCAGUCCAGCAAGCAUGCCCCACCAAGUCUCCAAGAACAAGCACAGCAUAUCCUAAAGAUUUCCAGGCCUCUCACCCUCCAAGGAAGCUCUUCUAGAGCCUGCUGGUGACUUCAUUUAUUCAUCAAGGGCAAAGAGAUGCACUUAAAUUCUCAGAGGCCCCCUCAGUCAAGGAGUGCUCCAGCCUCUGGGAUGGUGGUAAUGAUGUCUAAAGAUACUCUGUGGGAGGAUUCUCUUGUGUCAGGGGUUUCCAAUUCACCAAUGUCUGUCCUAGGCUAGAUCCUUUCUCUAAUCCCCCUUCCCCACCAACCAACCAAACCCCUGUACAUGUGUGUUUCUUCAUGGCUGGGAAUAAAACCAGGGCUAUGUGCUCUAUCUACCACUAAGCUA
Grammomys surdaster is the source of this 663-nucleotide long non-coding RNA. RefSeq lists it as uncharacterized. Lineage: Eukaryota; Metazoa; Chordata; Mammalia; Rodentia; Muridae. The record is from RefSeq and is a predicted model, not a curated record. The transcript is spliced from 2 exons.